CACGUAGGGCGCAAGCGUUGUCCGGAAUUAUUGGGCGUAAAGAGCUCGUAGGCGGUCUGUUACGUCUGCUGUGAAAACCCGGGGCUUAACCCUGGGCUUGCAGUGGAUACGGGCAGACUAGAGGUAGGUAGGGGAGAAUGGAAUUCCCGGUGUAGCGGUGAAAUGCGCAGAUAUCGGGAGGAACACCGGUGGCGAAGGCGGUUCUCUGGGCCUUACCUGACGCUGAGGAGCGAAAGCGUGGGGAGCGAACAGG
Molecule: ribosomal RNA, 253 nt
Filed under: uncultured bacterium
Lineage: Bacteria
Description: partial 16S ribosomal RNA
Rfam family: Bacterial small subunit ribosomal RNA
Source: RNAcentral